UUAAGUUCAGCGGGUAGUCCUACCUGAUUUGAGGUCAAAAUGUCAGGAGUUGUCCUCGAAGAGGACGGUUAGAGAGCAGGACCCCAUGAUGAAGGCUGAUUCUCAGCGGCGUAGAUAAUUAUCACACCAGAGAUGGUCAACCAGAGGUCUCACUAAUGCAUUUAAGGAGAGCCGACUUCUCGAAAGAAGCCCGCAGCCCC
This 200-nucleotide unclassified non-coding RNA is filed under the name Lyophyllaceae sp. Its description in RNAcentral is "partial internal transcribed spacer 2". Lineage: Eukaryota; Fungi; Basidiomycota; Agaricomycetes; Agaricales; Lyophyllaceae. The record is from RNAcentral.